ANGGUUCCGUAGGUGAACCUGCGUAAGUAUCAUUAUCGAAUAAAC
RNAcentral lists this ribosomal RNA (45 nucleotides) under Inocybe lilacina. RNAcentral's name for it is "partial 18S ribosomal RNA". The record is from RNAcentral. Lineage: Eukaryota; Fungi; Basidiomycota; Agaricomycetes; Agaricales; Inocybaceae.